UAAUAAGUGUUUUAUGGUACUUUUUAAAUCCAUAUCCACCUUGUGUGCAAUGUCAGUCGAUCUUCUUCAUGGAGAUCGACCAAACAUCAACCUUUAUCUUUUAACUCUUUGUCUGAAGAAUAUUAUGAAUAAACAAUUCAAAAUA
Molecule: unclassified non-coding RNA, 145 nt
Filed under: soil metagenome
Description: partial internal transcribed spacer 1
Source: RNAcentral